RNAcentral lists this ribosomal RNA (165 nucleotides) under uncultured bacterium. Its description in RNAcentral is "partial 16S ribosomal RNA". It matches the Rfam family "Bacterial small subunit ribosomal RNA", at positions 355 to 511 of the family's 1533-position model. The record is from RNAcentral.
UAGGGAAUCUUCCACAGUGGGGCGAAAGCCUGAUGGAGCAACGCCGCGUGUGUGAUGAAGGGUUUCGGCUCGUAAAACACUGUUGUAAGAGAAGAAUGACAUUGAGAGUAACUGUUCAAUGUGUGACGGUAUCUUACCAGAAAGGAACGGCUAAAUACGUGCCAG